GUCUCCUUCUUCAGGAGCCUUCCAGACCCUCUCCUGCAGUGGCUGACCUCUUGCCCUGCGCCUCCUUUUGUCUUGCACGGACCCGACACAGGGCAUGACUUGGUAGCAGGUGGCUUAGGAAAAAAACGGAGGGCAGGACUUAAUGGUUUUUUGUGGUGGGAAAUUCCGGGGGGUAGAGCUGGCUUCAGACAUAGCUGGGACAAAGGGUUAAACCGUGCCUCUGGGACCCUGCUUCUGGCUCUGGAUAGGCUCUGCCUUCCUUGGGGCAGCCUCUCUCUCAGCAGUUUCCAGGAGCCCCUCGGAGCCCCUCACCUGACCCUUCUUACUUCAGGCUCAACGCACGACUUCACGCUCUCAGCAGCCCCACAAAAGCCCCAGAAUCGAGUCUCAUUGGUCCGGCUUGGUCACCUGCCAAUUCUUGAGCCAAUCACUAUGGCCACGGGAAUCAGCAGCUCUGAUUGGCCCAGCCUGCGUCACGUGGUCGACUCCGGCGCGAGCGGUGCUGGGACGCGGAGGGGUGACGUCGGGAGGCAAGCCGGAGCUCUGGAGGCGGAGGCUGAGCGGCUGAGGCGCUGGCGCCGAAGUGCGCCCCUUGGACCGCUGCUGGGGCGCUUCUCACACUGUGGUUGGCUCCAUUAUCAGGAUUUUCCUAAUGGCCACAAGAUAGUUGCCAGCAAUAUUGGUUCACACUCAACGUGAAAAAGGUGAGCCUCUGUCCCAGCAUUCUUAGCAAAUCCUGAGAUUUACUUUGACUAAGCAGGGUAAGGAGAUCAUGAACCCGGCACCAUGGCCCAAGGAAUGCAACCACACUUACUGGCUGACACCAGGCCACACCUUUUCACUAGAAAAGGUUCAUAAUAUCUCUAAUAUCAGGACAAAGUUGCCCUAACAUGCCACCCUUAACUUAGAAGUUCAAAUAAAGAAAAUAAUAUCCAACAAUGCUUCCAGCAUAUGAAUCACUAACCUAGCAGGCCUUGACCACAAUCCUGAGAAGUAAAUACCUCUUAGACAUCAGGUGAAGAGGCUCAGAGACAUCACUUUGGACAAAGAAUGUGCAAAGCUACCUCCCCCCAAAAUUGAGGGUUCUUGCUAGCAGCAUGGGAUACUGGCAAGACAAACUGCAGAAAUCUACUACCUGUGUCAGCCUAAAGCUGUGGUCCAAGGAGCCCAGCAUUGAGCCUUCUCAUUGAUGUAUUCCCCUGGGACCCAGUGUCCCUGCUCUGGCCACAGGCCCAUGACUCAGAUAGGUGUUGGGAAAAUGGACUUAACACUACCUGCUUGGGUGUUGUGAGCAAUCAACAGGUCACCAUAAGUAAAUGCCUAGCUCAUUGUGUGGAGGCAGUGCUUUAUGCCACCAAAGUCAUUUCCAAUGUUCCUACCUCUCUGUAGGAAGAUUGGAGCCAUGGGACUGAGUUCUGGCCAAUGGACUCUGGAUGGGAAUGGCAUACAUAUUGAUGGGGUGGCCUGGCCACCUUCUAGUCUUGGAGAGCAGAAGCAAAGUGCUCUGAGAAACUGGAGCCAUCUUGUGAAUAAGCCCUAAUACCUUAGUCACUGCGUGGAGGCAAGCCACCCAGGAGGUCAACUGGAUCCAGGUACACUGGACUUUGUGACACCAGCAACUAAACCUUUGAGGGACGCCUGGGUGGCUCAGUGGUUGAGUGCCUGCCUUUGGCUCAGGUCAUGAUCCUGGGGUCCUGAGAUUGAGUCCCUGCAUCAGGCUCCCCGUAGGGAGCCUGCUUCUCUCUCUACCUAUGUCUCUGCCUCUCUGUGUGUGUCUCAUGAAUAAACAAAUAAAAUCUUAAAAAAAAAUACCCAAAAAACUAAACCUUUGAUAUGUUAAGUCACUGGUUCUCAAAGAGGGCAUUUGAUAAUAUCUGGAGACAUUUGGGUUGUCACAGUGAGAGGUCGGAUGGGGUGAGACAUCUAGUGGGUAGAAGGCGGGGAUUCUGUUAAGUGCCCUACAAUGCCCAGGACAGCCCCCCUCAGAGAAUUACUUGGCCCAAAAUGUCAACAGCACUAAGGUUAAGAAACUCUGCUCUAAAUGUGAGCACUGUGAGAGAAAAGAUUUGUUAUGGCUCUGUUUAGAAUCCUCCAAUGGCUUCCAUCACACCCAGGAUAAAUUCUGGACCUCUCCCCUUGAUCUACAAGGCUCUGCAGGAUGGGGAUCCUGCCCACCUCUCUUACCUUUACAUCCUAGCCUCUCCCCCUCCCUCACUUGAUGCCAAGUAGCUUUGCCUUCAUCUGACCUCUUUUAGACUUCAGGGCCUUUGUACCUGCUGUUGCCUCUAUCUUAAAUGCACUUCCUCCUGCUCUUCCAAUUACCCAGGUACAAUUUACAUGUCCCUAGCUCAGAGACACCUUCCUUAACCACACAGUCUGUAUUAGAUCCCCUACCACCCAGUGAUUCUCCGUUAUCACACUACAUUACCAUUAUCAGCGAUCACAACAAGCCUGAUUUAUAAUGAGGUAACAUGCUGGUUACCCAGGAGGGGAGAGAUCUGUUUUCCCCAUGGAGUGUGAGGACAUGAGGAGAGCACCAUGCCUAUGUCAUUUAUUUCUGUCUCUCUGGCACCUGGCACAAUAGCUGGCACAUAUGUAAAGGUAAAAAAUAAAUGUGUUGAAUGAAUGAGUAGAUGAGUAAUGGGUAGAAAGAGCAGAGUCUUUGCAGUCGGACACACCCCUGGACUGAAUUCUGGCUCCACCACCAGCUGUGAGUCAUCGUCACUCUCCAAGCCUCCAUCUGCUCAUCUGUAAAAUGGACGUAAGAAUCUCAUCUCCCAGGCUACUAUGAGGAUGAAAGACAGCAAAUGCAGAGUGCCGGCAUGAUUCCCAGCACAGAAUAAGCACUUGUAAGCUGUGUGCUGAAUAUCAAAUGCACAGAUAAACACAUUUCCCUGUGUGCUGUCAUUUUGAAGGCGAAAGCUGGGAAGGAAGGUUGGCAGAUGAAGUUGGGAUGCCAGAACCCAGUUUACCCAGCACCUUCUGCUUCUCUCUCUCUAUCAAUGAUCCCACCCCCCUGCUUCAAGACCAUGAACUUAGGUCCCUUCUCCCAAAGUCAAAGGACCCAGGCUGUGGAUUUUCCUGCAGCCUGCCUCUGCCUUGCAGGAUCCAGGAGUGAUGCAGCCAUCAUUAGGGUCUCUCUAGUGAGAUUCAUAGCCCCUCCCUAAGGGUGUCUCCCACCCCCCUGCCUCUAUCUGUGUCCAUCUAGACCAUGCAGGAAAUGAAAGUAGGCAGCAGAUCAUUUGCAAUAAAGAGCUCCGUGAUUCCCUGUGAUGUCUGCAAAAAUGAAUAUGAUUCAGGGCCUCUUUCUUUCAAAAAGAGUCUCAUAGCAAACUUGAGGCCCUAAAGGAACUUGGAUCGUUUCUACCUCUGGGUGUGUGAAGAGUGGGGAUGGCAGGCAGGAUGCAGAGAAGGUGGUGAACUGGUGGAAAGAUGGGUGCAGAAGCCCCAUCUUAUAGGAGAGACAGGAAUGUGAGGUUGGGAGCUCCCGCCUGGUUUCAGUGUCCACACUGAACCUCCCUAAGUCUCAUUUCCCUCAGCUGUAAAAGGAGAUGGCAACAGGCCCUGCCAGGUUAGGUUAUCAUGAAAAGCAAAUGGGGUAAAACUUGUACAGCACCACUUGACCUUGGCUGACCCAGGUAACUUGCUUCCAAAGAGUAGGUAUGCAAAGGGCUAAAGAUACCUUAAUAGUAGAGAAAUCUACAAACCUGGCCUCAGGUCUGGUGAUCAAAGUUAAUGUCAGUGAUCGGUGACUUCAGUAGAGUCACUAAAGCUUCAGCUUCACAAGCUGGACUCCAAACAGCCUGACCUGGAUAGGGGUGCAUUAAGAUGAACCAGUUUUCUCUUGCCCCAUCUCUGCAGCCAGGCUCUCUGGCCACCCUUCUUUGGCACUUACUAAUGACACCUCAGGCAGUUUACAACCCCAGGGCUCUCUGGGGUGGAGAUUUUAGAUCCCCUCCUCCCAGCCAGUGCUGUGGAUGCACCAGCUGUCCUCUUCAAGCCUGGUGGUGGAGCCUGUUUUGGGUUGGAAUGUGUCCCUGCAGGAUGCCUGGGUGGCUCAGUGGUUGAACGGAUGCUUUGGGCUCUGGGCAUGAUCUCAGGGUCCAGGGAUCGAAUCCCGCAUCGGGCUCCCUGCAGGGAACCUGCUUCUCCCUCUGCCUAUGUCUCUGCUUCUCUCUCUUUGUCUCUCAUGAAUACAUAAAUAAAAUCUUAAAAAAAAAAAAAAAAAAAGGAAAAGAAAUGUGUCCCUGCCAUCAAAUGAUGGGUUGAAGUCUCAACCCCAGUGUCUCAGAAUGUGACCUUAUUUGGAAAUAUGGUCAUUAACAGGUGUGAUUAGUUAAGAAGAAGUCAUAUGGAGGAGGCUGGGCCCCAAUCCAAUAUGCCCAGCAGCCUUAUAAGACGGCCACAUGAAGACAGAGACGUAGGGAGACGACCAAGCAAAGAUGGGACAAUUGGAGUGAUGCAUCCACAAGCCAAGGGACACCAAAGACUGCCAGCAAACCACUAGAAGCUAAGAAGAGGUAAGAAGAGGUGAGGAAUGACUCCCCAACAGACUGCAGAAGGAGUGUGGUCUGCUGGCACCUUGAUCUCAGACUUUCAGCCCCCAGAACUAUGAGACAGCGUCCUAUUGUCUUAAGCCACCAUGCUUGGGCCUGAGAAACUAACACAGGGCAGAAGGAAGGGUCUGCUUUUCACGACUUCACGGCUUUCAACAUCUUCUGAGGGAUGCCCCCAUUCCAUCAUUGCCAGGUCUCUGACUUGCCCUCUGUGCCCCCUCCCUGGAGCCCCUCACCUGGCCUCAGGCUCCUCUGCUCCCUCCCUGCAGUGAGGCUGGUGUGGGGUUGAACAUGGUAAGGCUUCUUCCCCCACUCUUUCUUUUCAAAUUCACUGAUUUGAGGUUGGGAGUGACACUCAGGCCCCUGUGAUGAGCCGUUUUCUCCAGGCUGUAGAAAUCUUAGUACCUCUUGUAUUCAACUGGAGCCUCAAGCACCAACUUCCCAGGUGGCAGGACAAGCCCCGCUCACCAUCCCGUUACUCCAGAUUGCAAGCCCAGGUGGGUUCUCCAGGCCCCCAAAUGAUCCUUGUCACACCCCAGCCUGUACCUCGGGUCUCCUGGCAUUCACCUGCUUGGGCCCUGCUACCUACAAUGACCUAAUGACAGGUGA
RNAcentral lists this long non-coding RNA (5165 nucleotides) under Canis lupus familiaris (dog). RNAcentral describes it as "lncRNA (ENSCAFG00040018354.1)". The record is from RNAcentral. Lineage: Eukaryota; Metazoa; Chordata; Mammalia; Carnivora; Canidae.